GAAAAAGAACUUGUAAUUAUAAAUACAGAGUGAUCAAGACGGAAUGUGGCUGAGGAACAUUAUCGAAUGAUCUGUAUCUAGUCAUCAACGGUGAAAAUACAAUUCUAAAGAGGAAAAACAUACAAUAAACCAUAAAUACAACCUUCAGACUUUGUAGGAAGGAUUAGUUUGCUAAGGCUCCUUUGAUAACAAAUUCGCUUAUAGUUUUCUUGUUUUAGUUAAAAAGGAUAAACGACGGAGGAAGAAGGAAUUUGGGACGAAAAUGUGUGAAAUAAAAACUCGAAUUGUAGAUUAUCUGAAUAUGCUUUUUGUCCUUCGUUUUCGGUAUCAUUCCAUGCACGUUUAGUCCCUCAUCCAUCCCUUUCCCUUCCUCCUCCUCCUCCUCCUCUUCUAUCAUGCAUUUUCUCUAUCUAUCACUUAAAAUUAAAAACUAAAAAUCAAAUACGAAAUCGUUACCAAACACAACUUGAACAAAGCAAUGUCUUACGAAGUGACCAUGGCCGAAAGGACACAUACUUUUAACGAUCAGUUGCAUCUAUUUUCAACAAUUAAUCAAUGAAAUAACUCAAGUGUGCUAGUGUUUUGAUUUAAUUUGUAACAUCUGUACUAUUUUAUAGACAAAGAUAGAGUUACAAGGACACUUCUUGUCUCCUUCCCAACAUUUGUACUAUUUUAUAGACAAAGAUAUAGUUACAAAAACUACUUGUCUCCUUCCCCAAAUCAUUCUUCGGGAAGAGAUUGUCAAAGAUCAACACCAGCCCAUUAAGAUCAGUCGGUACAAAGGAACUAGAUUGGUCUAGUUCAAACAUGCAUGGUUUUCUCUAGAAGAUUCUAUAAUGGGAAUAUGCUAGAAAACUCUAGCAAAGAAGGUUGUUCCUUAAGUUGGUGGAAGAUUCUAGAAGAAUGGUGAGGUUUCCACCAACAUGCAAGAUUAGUGUAGAUAAUUCUAGCUUGGGAAGUUAGUAGAAUUAUCUAGAUAACUCUAGCAUGAUAUUUCCAUGCUUCUCCAAGGUUCCAUCCAUGCCUAUAAAAUGAGAAGGCAUCCACACCAUUUGUAUCAACCAAGUAACCAAGUAACCAACCAAGCAAUCAAGAAUGCAACCAAGUGAGAGUGAGAAGCAAGAAUAGUCUUGUAGGAGUGUGAGUGAUCUAGAGUUUGUCUCUAGAAAGUGAGUGAGUGUCAUUGCUUCUAAAGUUGUGUCUUUGAGUGUUUUGAGUGUUGUAAUAUUUUGUGUGUGUAGUACAAGUAAUUUGUUUACUUGUGUUGUCUCUCCAACACUUGUGUUAGACUUGUGUACUCUAAGUUCUUAUCAACAAUUGGUAUCAGAGCGGUACGAUCAGGGACCGUCUCUAGUGAAGUUUUUUUAGAAUCGUUAGAAGUUUACUACUUCACAAGAUUAUUCGUUAAGCUUGUUCGGUUUAUCGAAGUUCUGCCGACACGAUGGGAGAUCUUCAAGUUGUUGAAGGAAUCAAGAAGUUGAACAACAAAAAUUACAACACAUGGGCGACAUGUAUGGAGUCUUACCUACAAGGCCAAGAUCUUUGGGAUGCUGUCGGCGGUAAUGAAGUUAUGCAGCCGGAAGAAGACUCUAGUGGCAUUUUGAGGAAGUGGAAGAUCAAGGCAGGUAAGGCCAUGUUUGCCUUAAAAACCACAGUUGAAGAUGACAUGUUAGAGCACAUACGGAAGGCUAAGACACCAAAAGAAGCGUGGGACACCUUCGCCACACUCUUUUCAAAGAAGAAUGAUACAAGACUGCAACUUCUCGAGAAUGAGCUACUAUCGAUGGCCCAACGAGACAUGACGAUUGCUGAAUAUUUCCACAAGGUAAAGGCUAUUUGUCGUGAAAUUUCUGAGUUAGAUCCUAGUGCUGCCAUUGUACAAUCCAGGAUAAAAAGAAUAAUUAUCGAUGGAUUGAGACCCGAAUAUUGAGGCUUCGUUGCCGCUGUACAAGGAUGGCCGACCCAACCAUCACUUGUUGAGUUCGAGAAUUUGCUUGCCGAUCAAGAAGCUUUGGCAAAGCAAAUGGGAGGGGUCUCGUUAAAAGGUGAAGAGGAAGCGCUCUACACCAAAAGUAAAGGCAGUUUUAAGCAGCGUGCUCGUGGUGGAUCUAAAAUAAAUGGUGACAAGGCGAAAUGUCAUCAAGGAGGAGGGAGUUCUCGACCAGGGGGAGCUCCGAAGUAUCACGGCAACCAUGGUCAGUCCCAGAAUAAUAAAAGGUUUGAGGGCAAGUCUACAAUUGUGGAAAGAAGGGCCACAUGGCAAAGGAUUGCUGGUUCAAAAAACCCGCAGAAAGUAACGUCACCAACUCAGAGAAGAAAAGUGAAGAUGAUUGGGACGCCGUAGCAUAUCUAGCUAUGGAGGAAGAAUGGGACGCUGAAGCAUCUUCUUGGUGGUGCUCAGAAAAUGAGGUGUUCCCUGACUCAAGAGAGAUUGAGGAUACGUUGCAGGAGGAAAUGGGAGACCGAGCUGCCCAAACCCAAACGAGUCUAGAUGAGCUCGAGGAAUUGCUUGAUGGUGACGAUGUCAAGCAAGAAGUACCUAAGAGUCAUUGGCAAACUGAAGAAGUUAGACCUAGUGAAGUGGAAGUAUCAUUUCCACGAUCAUAACUAAGUAGGUCAACGGGAAUAACGAAGUCAAAUCCCAAAUGCGCCAACGCAACCAUAGUAGAAGAAGCAGUUGAAGCUAAGAUGCGUAUAGAAGCAUCACAAAAUUCUAAAUGGCGUAAAGCUAGAAGAAGAGGUCGCUGCGUUAAAGAAAUAUCAAACUCGGGAUCCAGUGGUAAGGCCAAGAGAUGUGAAACCCAUAUCAUGCAAAUAGGUGUUCAAGAUAAAGUGUCGACUGAGCGAGAAGAAAAGAAUGAGCUGGUGUUGAGGGGGAGUGUUAAAGAUCAACACCAGCCUAUUAAGAUCAGUCGGUACAAAGGAACUAGAUUGGUCUAGUUCAAACAUGCAUGGUUUUCUCUAGAAGAUUCUAUAAUGGGAAUAUGCUAGAAAACUCUAGCAAAGAAGGUUGUUCCUUAAGUUGGUGGAAGAUUCUAGAAGAAUUGUGAGGUUUCCACCAACAUGCAAGAUUAGUGUAGAUAAUUCUAGCUUGGGAAGUUAGUAGAAUUAUCUAGAUAACUCUAGCAUGAUAUUUCCAUGCUUCUCCAAGGUUCCAUCCAUGCCUAUAAAAUGAGAAGGCAUCCACACCAUUUGUAUCAACCAAGUAACCAAGUAACCAACCAAGCAAUCAAGAAUGCAACCAAGUGAGAGUGAGAAGCAAGAAUAGUCUUGUAGGAGUGUGAGUGAUCUAGAGUUUGUCUCUAGAAAGUGAGUGAGUGUCAUUGCUUCUAAAGUUGUGUCUUUGAGUGUUUUGAGUGUUGUAAUAUUUUGUGUGUGUAAUACAAGUAAUUUGUUUACUUGUGUUGUCUCUCCAACACUUGUGUUAGAGUUGUGUACUCUAAGUUCUUAUCAACAGAGAUUUGGUCCUUCCCAACAUUUGGACUAUUUUAUAGACAAAGAUACAGUUACAAACACUCCUUGUCCCCUUCCCCAAAUCAUUCUUCAGGAAGAGAUUCGAUCCGAAUCUCUCCAAUUAAGUGAUCUAGGCCGUUGAAAUUCAAUCAAACGACUACAAUUAUUAUAACUUUUAGAGAGGCUUCCUGUUUGUAGUCGUUAAAUCAAAUUUCAACGGUCCGAAUCACUUGAUCUUGGGCCUUUGAUGGGAGAGAUCCGGACCGAAUCUCUUUCCUUUUUUGUAUAGCUAUAUUUCACACGCACACAUGAAUAAACUACACAGUACGCUAAACUUGAAUAUAGACAAGCAGUAAUUUCAUCUUCUAUUUUUCCUGUUAACCAAAAGCUAUCUGCAGACCUAGCUACUCUUUGAAUCCAAGUUCGGAUCUCCUCUCAUAGUUUUUACCAAGGUUCUAAAAGACGCUAGGCGCUAGUCGGGUGGCGGGCUGGGGCCUAGCGCAUAGGCGGACUAGGCGGAUUUAAGUAAAUCUAUUAUAUUUUGUGUAAAUAAGUGUCUGUUUAUACUUAAAAUAUAUAUAAUUUUAUCAUAAACUACAAAAUAGAAUGACAUAUAUAUUAUGAAGUAUUGGACAUAAUGAAAACAUGAGGAACAAGUAUAUAAUGUGUGUUCAUUUAAGUAUUCAACAAGUCUUUACAAUUUAUUGAAAAAAUAAAUAAAAUACAAAAUGCAAGUUAUCUAAUUUUUGUCUAAGUGAGUUGCAACCUAGUCGGUGCUUAGGUGGGUCUGGACAGGCUACGCGGGUGCCUUAGC
Molecule: long non-coding RNA, 4267 nt
Filed under: Malus domestica (apple)
Lineage: Eukaryota; Viridiplantae; Streptophyta; Magnoliopsida; Rosales; Rosaceae
Description: long non-coding RNA (MDOM_LNC015858)
Source: RNAcentral